GAUGAACGCUAGCGACAGGCUUAACACAUGCAAGUCGAGGGGCAUCACGGGUAGCAAUAUCUGGUGGCGACCGGCGAACGGGUGAGUAACGCGUAUGCAACCUACUUGUAAACGGGAGACAACCUGGAGAAAUUUGGGCUAAACUUCCAUGAGGCAUUAUUACUGCAUGGUAAUGAUGUCAAACGUAAGGUUUACAAAUGGGCAUGCGUAUGAUUAGCUAGUUGGUAGGGUAACGGCCUACCAAGGCUACGAUGUUUAGGGGACCUGAGAGGGUGAUCCCCCACACUGGUACUGAGACACGGACCAGACUCCUACGGGAGGCAGCAGUGAGGAAUAUUGGUCAAUGGGCGAAGCCUGAACCAGCCAUCCCGCGUGCAGGAAGACGGCCCUAUGGGUUGUAAAGCCCUUUUGUCCGGAAAGAAAAGCACGGGAUUAAUACCCUCGUGUGAUGACGGUACCGGAAGAAUAAGCAACCGGCUAACUACGUGCCAGCAGCCGCGGUAAUAUCACGUG
RNAcentral lists this ribosomal RNA (513 nucleotides) under uncultured bacterium. RNAcentral's name for it is "bacterial SSU rRNA". It matches the Rfam family "Bacterial small subunit ribosomal RNA", at positions 28 to 529 of the family's 1533-position model. The record is from RNAcentral.